Long non-coding RNA from Macrobrachium nipponense, 549 nucleotides. RefSeq lists it as uncharacterized. The transcript has 2 exons. The record is from RefSeq and is a predicted model, not a curated record. NCBI's taxonomy places the organism in Eukaryota, Metazoa, Arthropoda, Malacostraca, Decapoda, Palaemonidae.
CAUGCAUAGAUAACAGUUUUAUUUUCAGUCCUUGUCUUUAAUUUUUCCUUGAAAGGAGGCAAAGGUUGCAUCCUUUCUGGGACUAUAAAAGGCAGCUGUAUUAAUAUGUUUAAUUACUCUUGAAAGCUCUCCGAAAUGAAGAUCUUCCUAAUAAUCUCCGCUCUUUUUGCCACAGGUUGCGUGGCUCAGUUUCCAUGCCUUCCCAGCCCACCCAAAGACCUGCGCGUCGUUGAACUUCACGCCCACUCCGUUGCAAUUGAAUUCGAGGAUCCGGACGACCUCGAUGAUUGCCCAAUCGCGAGCUACCACCCCGAAAUUGAAAAGGUGGUGGUGGCAACCAGAGAGCAGUCCAACGUGGGAGAGUACAUCCCGACAGGCAAAACCCACCACAUGGGUUUUCCUUUACUUGAGGCGAGCACUGUCUACAGGAUCAGCGUGAUCUCCGUCUCCACUUUGGACGUGUUUUCGCAUCCAGCGAUCAUUGAAGUUGAAACUUUGGCAGAACAAAUUUAGAUAUUCUGUGUAAAACAAAUAAAUGUUUCAUCACUA